RNAcentral lists this ribosomal RNA (902 nucleotides) under Staphylococcus sp. MF18_Po. RNAcentral describes it as "bacterial SSU rRNA". It matches the Rfam family "Bacterial small subunit ribosomal RNA", at positions 37 to 919 of the family's 1533-position model. Lineage: Bacteria; Bacillati; Bacillota; Bacilli; Caryophanales; Staphylococcaceae. The record is from RNAcentral.
UNNNNNNGGCGUGCUAUACAUGCAGUCGAGCGAACAGACGAGGAGCUUGCUCCUCUGACGUUAGCGGCGGACGGGUGAGUAACACGUGGAUAACCUACCUAUAAGACUGGGAUAACUUCGGGAAACCGGAGCUAAUACCGGAUAAUAUAUUGAACCGCAUGGUUCAAUAGUGAAAGACGGUUUUGCUGUCACUUAUAGAUGGAUCCGCGCCGCAUUAGCUAGUUGGUAAGGUAACGGCUUACCAAGGCAACGAUGCGUAGCCGACCUGAGAGGGUGAUCGGCCACACUGGAACUGAGACACGGUCCAGACUCCUACGGGAGGCAGCAGUAGGGAAUCUUCCGCAAUGGGCGAAAGCCUGACGGAGCAACGCCGCGUGAGUGAUGAAGGUCUUCGGAUCGUAAAACUCUGUUAUUAGGGAAGAACAAAUGUGUAAGUAACUAUGCACGUCUUGACGGUACCUAAUCAGAAAGCCACGGCUAACUACGUGCCAGCAGCCGCGGUAAUACGUAGGUGGCAAGCGUUAUCCGGAAUUAUUGGGCGUAAAGCGCGCGUAGGCGGUUUUUUAAGUCUGAUGUGAAAGCCCACGGCUCAACCGUGGAGGGUCAUUGGAAACUGGAAAACUUGAGUGCAGAAGAGGAAAGUGGAAUUCCAUGUGUAGCGGUGAAAUGCGCAGAGAUAUGGAGGAACACCAGUGGCGAAGGCGACUUUCUGGUCUGUAACUGACGCUGAUGUGCGAAAGCGUGGGGAUCAAACAGGAUUAGAUACCCUGGUAGUCCACGCCGUAAACGAUGAGUGCUAAGUGUUAGGGGGUUUCCGCCCCUUAGUGCUGCAGCUAACGCAUUAAGCACUCCGCCUGGGGAGUACGACCGCAAGGUUGAAACUCAAGGGAAAUUGACCGGAA